GUGCUCACUUCGGCAGCACAUAUAAUAAAAUUGGAACAAUACAGGGAAGAUUAGCAGGAUGACACUCAAAUUCGUGACGUAUUCCAUAUUUUU
Small nuclear RNA from Balaenoptera musculus (blue whale), 93 nucleotides. The record is from Ensembl. NCBI's taxonomy places the organism in Eukaryota, Metazoa, Chordata, Mammalia, Artiodactyla, Balaenopteridae.